UCUUGUGUAUGCAUGGAUCAAGCAAGACCUAGUUUACAGAUGAAAGUCCAUUCAUCACCAUUUGCAACCUUAAUUUAUAUUACGGAGUUUAUCUGACCCAAUAUAUUGAUCAAGAUAAGAACAGAAAGUGCCGAAGCUCUCUCUCUCUUAUCUUUCUCAAAUCUUUCAGAGAGAGAGUCGACAUCUGAGACUCGCCGGCGGGUUCCGGCGGUUUGAUUCUUGUUUGAUCAAGAAUCUGUUCCGGCAUAGGCGGCUCCUUUAGCACCUUUGGCCGGCUUAUGUCUCCAACGGCGGUUCUGUCUCUUGGAAAGCCGUUGGCUUUUGGCUCCGGCGACACAUCAGCAACUCCGGUGUAAUCGUCGGCUCUUGGCUCUGCCUCUAGCUUCCCUUCUGUUGUAGAUGGAGGCUUUACUCUGGGUUUUUCCUAGAUAUGGAUUGUUCUCCUCUUCUUUGUUCAUCUUCUGGUUCAAUUAUUCCCGGUGAUUGCUUCGUUCUACAUCGGUGUCUAUGGAUUGAAUCUUCCUAAUCUGAAGUGGAGAGGAUAUGGCUUUAGUCUUAAGGCGUUAAUGGGUUCGUCUUUGUCGAAGAUUAAAGCUUCUUGUAUAGUUGUGCUCUCUCGUUCAGUCUCGUCGUCGGUGUAGCUCUUCGAACGGGUUCCUGAUUCCGGUUUGGUUCAGGUGUAACUGCCGACUAGAAUCUCCGCCGGUGACGCUCCAGUCGGUGAAGAGUGAUGGUGGUCUAGUUCUCUGACACGUAUCAUUUCCUCGCUAACAGAGCAACGCGUGGGAGUGUCGAGUGGCCUCAUCACCUUCUUCUUGGGCUAUUUUUUGCUGUGCUCGUUUGUGGGCCUUUGUUGUUGUUUUCCUUUACUAGUCCUUUAGGGGUUUUUGUAUUUUAUGUUUUUUAUUUCAAUAAGAUCAGAAAAAAAAAGAACAGAAAGUGCCAUGAGAUCUUCAUGCAGCCCGUGAGGGUUUUCUUUUUGACAAAGUGAUUUUAAUUUUAAAGCCUGUGAGGUUUUGUUCUUAUAACUUUGGUUAAUGCAUCUUUCGAAUCUAAGAUUUCUCCUGCAUAUAAAAUCCAAUUAUAAGUGAAGAAAUAUGAAAAAGAUAACAAAACAAAUCUGAUGAGGAUAAGACAAUUGAAAAUUGGAAUAGAGAUAGAUUAUUAGAAUUAUUAUGAAUGUCAAUAAUUUGUUUCAAUCAAACAGAGAGAAUUCUC
This 1218-nucleotide long non-coding RNA is filed under the name Brassica napus (rape). RNAcentral describes it as "long non-coding RNA (BNAP_LNC021436)". Lineage: Eukaryota; Viridiplantae; Streptophyta; Magnoliopsida; Brassicales; Brassicaceae. The record is from RNAcentral.